ACAUGCAAGUCGAACGGAAAGGCCCGCUUGCGGGUGCUCGAGUGGCGAACGGGUGAGUAACACGUGGGCAACCUGCCCGAGAGUUGGGGAUAGCCCGCCGAAAGGCGGAUUAAUACCGAAUGUGGCGAAGGAAGACAUCUUCUUGUAGCUAAAGCCGGGGCAACCUGGCGCUCUUGGAUGGGCCCGCGGCCUAUCAGCUAGUUGGUGAGGUAACGGCUCGCCAAGGCUAUGACGGGUAGCUGGUCUGAGAGGACGACCAGCCACACUGGAACUGAGACACGGUCCAGACACCUACGGGUGGCAGCAGUCGAGAAUUUUUCUCAAUGGGGGAAACCCUGAAGGAGCGACGCCGCGUGGAGGAUGAAGGUCUUCGGAUUGUAAACUCCUGUCAUUGGUGAACAAGGCCCUCGGUUAACUGCCGUUGGGUUUGAUAGUAGCCGAAGAGGAAGAGACGGCUAACUCUGUGCCAGCAGCCGCGGUAAUACAGAGGUCUCAAGCGUUGUUCGGAUUCAUUGGGCGUAAAGGGUGCGUAGGUGGCGAGGCAAGUCUGGUGUGAAAUCCCGGGGCUCAACCCCGGAACUGCACUGGAUACUGCCUUGCUUGAGCACUGGAGAGGGAACUGGAAUUUACGGUGUAGCAGUGAAAUGCGUAGAUAUCGUAAGGAAGACCAGUGGCGAAGGCGAGUUCCUGGACAGUUGCUGACACUGAGGCACGAAGGCUAGGGGAGCAAACGGGAUUAGAUACCCCGGUAGUCCUAGCAGUAAACGGUGCGCGUUUGGUGUAGGAGGAUUCGACCCCUUCUGUGCCGGAGCUAACGCGUUAAACGCGCCGCCUGGGGAGUACGGUCGCAAGAUUAAA
RNAcentral lists this ribosomal RNA (858 nucleotides) under uncultured bacterium. Its description in RNAcentral is "bacterial SSU rRNA". It matches the Rfam family "Bacterial small subunit ribosomal RNA", at positions 53 to 898 of the family's 1533-position model. The record is from RNAcentral.